Small nuclear RNA from Lutra lutra (Eurasian river otter), 105 nucleotides. The record is from RefSeq and is a predicted model, not a curated record. NCBI's taxonomy places the organism in Eukaryota, Metazoa, Chordata, Mammalia, Carnivora, Mustelidae.
GUUCAUUUCGGCUGCACAUAUACUAAAAUUGGAAAGAUACAGAGAAGAUUAGCAUGACCCCUGCACAAGGAUGACAUGCAAAUUCGUGAAGCAUUCCAUAUUAAA